Molecule: non-coding RNA, 196 nt
Organism: Salvia hispanica
Lineage: Eukaryota; Viridiplantae; Streptophyta; Magnoliopsida; Lamiales; Lamiaceae
Source: RefSeq, a predicted model, not a curated record
GAUUGUUCUAUUGAAAAGGUGAUAGUUCGCGUUCCCGGUGUGAUAACAAGAAGAAGCACGUAUUUGAAAUCGAAGGAAAUCGAGGUUGAGCGGCGAUGGGCGGUCGGUUGUGUUGAGGCAGUUGAAUCGAAUAAUAUGGAUGGUUGAAAUUUUGAGUGUAGUCGUGUCUUCAUACAUGGCUUCGCUUUCUCUUGGA